CUCCUGAAUGUCUCAUUCUCAAACUAAUUUUGCUUGAAAUUAUGGCUGGAGAUGGUAUAUUUGAAACUUAAUAUGAUGAAUACAGAACAGAUUUCAACACCUUUUGAUGUUCACAUAAACCUGAAGUGAAUAUAGCCAAAGAGGACGUGGCCUUUCAGCACCUCCAGCUAAAAAAUGCUGCAGAGGAACUUCCUGUAUUAAGUAGAGACGGGGUUUCACCGUGUUCUCCAGGAUGGUCUCGAUCUCCUGACCUCGUGAUCUGCCCGCCUCGGCCUCCCAAAGUGCUGGGCGUGAGCUACCGCGCCUGGCCUUUGUCAUCAUUUCAGAUAGGGUGAAGGAAUGGUUUAAGUUGCCUCCAAGGUAUCUUGUUGGGGGUGAGGGGUACAGAGGGGUCUUACUGAAUGGUGAUGAAAAAGGGGAUACAAGCAAAAGAUCAACAUUGGAGAAAAGAUAACUAAACCCUGGGAAGCUUAAGGAACAAAAUGUAACAAAACAACAGGGAUUGUUUUAUAAAAUACUUUGAGAUAUCCAGGAUUAAAAGUAUGAUAAAAAAUAA
Nomascus leucogenys (northern white-cheeked gibbon) is the source of this 556-nucleotide long non-coding RNA. RefSeq lists it as uncharacterized. NCBI's taxonomy places the organism in Eukaryota, Metazoa, Chordata, Mammalia, Primates, Hylobatidae. The transcript is spliced from 3 exons. The record is from RefSeq and is a predicted model, not a curated record.